UCACAAUAACGGGAUAUUACAUCGCUAUUGAUUUUUACGUGUCUAUAAUUAUUCCUACUUGCCGAUCACAUCUCACUUUGUUCGGCACGCCAUCAAUACAAGCUUUCCUAACAACAAUUCAAACUCAAUAUAUUUAGUGCCCACUUUAACCUUUCGAAGUAACUUCCGCCCAAACCCAUCUUAAUAUUUUUAUAAUAUUAACCAUAUUUACGGCAACAACAAUCAUUUCAAAUCUACUUAAUCAUUUUCCAAUUUCAUCCACAUUAUUCUCCCUUAUUUCUUCCAAUUAAUAUAACAUGUAACUUAACACUUCUAACUAAUUUAUGUAAAUAAAUUCCUCCGACAACAAUAAUUCCUCACAAUGAAUCAUUUCAAAAUUUUUUAACUAUAUUUAAAACACUAUUCAUUCAUCUCAUAUUUUCUUUUUUGCUUUAAUCCUAUGAAAAUCAUAAAAUAAUUUUUAAAUAUUAUAUUAAAACAACUUAAUUUAAUUCAUAUCAUCAAUAAUCUAAAUUUAGCUAAACAAGAUGGACUAGCCUCCAAAUAAUCUAAUUUCAUAACAAGUCCAAAAAAAAGAGCAAGGCAAUUUUUACCAAUUUGGGCUGGGUGGUCCAAAUCUCCACCUUUAUUCUCUUUCCCUUUCUAUUCCACCUUGUUCCAGCCGGCCUUCUCAUGAACCAGCACCCAUGGACAGCACAAGCUCUCUCUCUCCCUCACAUCAUUGGCAGCUUAAAGUCCCCUCCCUACUUCCACCGUUGGUUAGCUCUCUCUUUUUCCGCCAGCCACCACAACCCAAAUCUUUCUCUUUUCCUUCCUCCAAAUUCCAGCAAUUAACACCCUUGUUUUCCCCUAUCAAAAUCAGCUGCACAGCUCUUUCUUUCCUCUAUCAAAAAUCAGCUUCUUCCUCCCUUUUAUUUUUGUUCAAUAAAUGGCUUCCUCUUUUCCUUUUUUCACCGCCGGUCACCUUUCUUUCCUUCUUCUUCUUUCUUUUCUUCUUUCUUUGGCCGGC
RNAcentral lists this long non-coding RNA (1009 nucleotides) under Theobroma cacao (cacao). Its description in RNAcentral is "long non-coding RNA (TCAC_LNC003582)". Lineage: Eukaryota; Viridiplantae; Streptophyta; Magnoliopsida; Malvales; Malvaceae. The record is from RNAcentral.